AGCUGACUCACUCCUCACUCAUCGCUGCAUCCCACCCCUCAACCCUCCCAUCUCCCCCUGUGCCUUCCCUCAGGGCAUUGCGAUGGGCCCCAACAACUUCAGCAAUUAUAACCCCAUAUCCCACAUCUGCACACUACUUGGAGAGAAAAAGGAUACAAACAGACAACUUUAAGAAAAGAGAAAUAUCUCCAUAUCCUCUGUGCAACUUUUUCAGUUCCCUGAACACAACAUAUAUUUACUACAAGACUGGACUGAACCCACGUGGGACCAUCAACUGUAUGUAAAACUGUCUAGCUUUUAAUGAGUUGAUUGAAUAAUAAGCUGAGCUGAUUGAAUAACCUAAUAAUGUACAAGAGAUGCAUGAUACAGAUAAGUUAGCAAUGAUUCUUAUGUUCCUACUUUUGAAGAAAGUUUUAAGAUUCCACUACAGAAUUAUGUAACCAAUGACGUCACACAAAAAGAAAACUACAGAAGCCUUUAAUGCAAGGAGAAUGGAAUACAAGUAAGGUGACAAAAAAAUCCUUUUUGCCUAAUGUCUGACAGCUUAACCAAACAGUAUUAAAUACCUUUAUAUAAGUAUUUAAUUCUAGAUAUAUGCACAAAGUGUAUCUAAUCUGGCUUUUUUUGAACUCUGGUAAUCACUGAGUUUGAGUUACCGUGACAGCCACUGACCAUCAAACACUUCCCAUUCUCUAGCAGUUUUCCAUUUCCUACUUUUUUAUCAAAGGAGUAUAUUGUAAGAACCUACACUUUGCCACCGCAGAUAUCCCGGAUAAGAGUAUCUUCACUCUAGAACCCAAGAGCAGGUUUACUUGGCUGCAUGCACACCACUGCUGUCAUGUUCCCCUUUUCUUUGAAUCACCUUAGAGCUACCUUCACACUGGGAACUCUGGGGACACUGAGACAAGAAUAGAGCAGAGUGUGACUGUGUGCUGCUGCAUUCAAAAGAUUGACUCCAUAGAAAACCUGUAGAGAGUUGGGGACAGACAAUUAAUCCCCAUUUUAGGAGGUGGAAAAUAGGUACAGGGAAGGAUUGGGGACAUUUCCCAAGUAUGAUUAGAUACUCCCUCUGAAUUCAGUGUAAGGUUUUUGUUUAAAUAGGAUGUUUUCUCUCAAGCCUGUUGGUUUAAAUUCUUGGAACAUUGGACCAUGCAAUGGUCCUAGUUUUAUAAAAUCCUAGUUUUACAAAAUUAUCCUAGUUUUACAAAAUCAAGUGGACACCUGUAAAAGUGAUUAAUCUGAAAUAUAUGGAACUCCAUAACCAAGAAGUUACAGGGGAAUUGGAGGAUGUUGAGAAGUCUCAUCCUUUUUUUUCUUUUUUAUCUCUUUACUUAUGAAGCAAUAAAACAGUGGACUAUUGAAACUGAUUUAUCUGG
Molecule: long non-coding RNA, 1376 nt
Filed under: Parus major (Great Tit)
Lineage: Eukaryota; Metazoa; Chordata; Aves; Passeriformes; Paridae
Description: lncRNA (ENSPMJG00000008991.1)
Source: RNAcentral